RNAcentral lists this ribosomal RNA (405 nucleotides) under uncultured bacterium. Its description in RNAcentral is "bacterial SSU rRNA". It matches the Rfam family "Bacterial small subunit ribosomal RNA", at positions 509 to 916 of the family's 1533-position model. The record is from RNAcentral.
CAGCAGCCGCGGUAAUACGGAGGAUGCGAGCGUUAUCCGGAUUUAUUGGGUUUAAAGGGUGCGUAGGCGGAUCAAUAAGUCAGUGGUGAAAACCUUCAGCUUAACUGGAGACUUGCCAUUGAUACUGUUAGUCUUGAGUACGGUCAAGGUAGGCGGAAUGUGUAAUGUAGCGGUGAAAUGCUUAGAUAUUACACAGAACACCGAUUGCGAAGGCAGCUUACUGGGCCAUUACUGACGCUGAUGCACGAAAGCGUGGGGAGCGAACAGGAUUAGAUACCCUGGUAGUCCACGCCGUAAACGAUGAUCACUCGCUGUUGGCGAUACACAGUCAGCGGCUAAGCAAAAGCAUUAAGUGAUCCACCUGGGGAGUACGGCCGCAAGGCUGAAACUCAAAGGAAUUGACGG